RNAcentral lists this ribosomal RNA (353 nucleotides) under uncultured bacterium. RNAcentral describes it as "partial 16S ribosomal RNA". It matches the Rfam family "Bacterial small subunit ribosomal RNA", at positions 338 to 708 of the family's 1533-position model. The record is from RNAcentral.
CCUACGGGAGGCAGCAGUGGGGAAUAUUGCUCAAUGGGGGAAACCCUGAAGCAGCGCCGCCGCGUGAGGGAAGAAGGUUUUCGGUAUGUAAAGCUCUAUUAGUCGGGAAGAAAAUGACGGUACCUGAUUAAUAAGCCCCGUCUAACUACGUGCCAGCAGCCGCGGGAAUACGGAGGGGUCAAGCGUUCUCCUGAUUUACUGGGUGUAAAGGGAGCGUAGACGGGAUCACAAGUCCGGAGUUAAAUGCUGGGGCUUAACCACAGAACUGCAUUUGAAACUGGUCAUCGAGAGUGCGGGAGAGGUAGGUGGAAUUCGUGGUGUAGCGGUGAAAUGCGGAGAGAUUAAGCAGAAUA